AAAACUCUUUUUUUCCUUCAACAUUUUUAUACUACAUCGCUAUACUCAGGGCUCUAUAGUGCGAGUAUUUAACUUGCAUUUGCCCCGAAAAAAGGAUAUGUGCGAACCAGUGACAGACUGGCCAUCUGGAAUUUUGGGCAAAUGCCAAGAUGGGCCGCAGGCAACCAUUGGCCAUUUGGGCCACUCAGAAUUAAUUGGUAUAAUAGGGGGAAAAUAAAAUGUAUAGUCAUCGACUAGGGCAUCAAAUCCCAGAAUCCUCCCUCUCCUCGUUCUUCAAAGGACAUAUAUGUGAAAGGUACUGCUAUAAAUAACGUAGCUCCUUAAAGGAAUAGGGCAGUAUGUAAUGUGUUUGCGUAGCGAGUGUUGAGAGAUGGAGGGCCGGUUUCACAGACAGGGCUUAAAUCAAGCCAGGAUCAGUCCUUAAUCCAUAUUAGUUAAACUAGGACAUUUAAGUAGCCUCCAUGAACGUAUCUUAAAUUUGGUUUAGUUAGUCGAAGACUAGGGAGUCCUGGAGUAAGAUAAGUAAGUCUAAAUGAGAGCACCUGGGUUAAACCUCAUCAGGUUAAGUAUGAGCACAUGCCGUUCGUCUCAUGGUGCUCAUAAAAACCCGGAGUGGAAUCGAAAACACAAUUUAAUGGUAUGAAUCCUGAGACAUAACAAUGGCAGAGGCAAAAAGAAUUCGUUCAAAAAAACUUUAGUGAGUAUGAAAAAACGCUACUAAAACAAAUUUUAUCAAACCAUCCGGUUAUUGAAAGUAAAAACCAUACUACUGCUACUGAGCAAAAGAAAAAGAAUGCUUGGGCCGCAAUUUGCAGUGAAUUCAAUGCAAAUGAAAAUGUAACCACAAGAACAGUACAACAACUUCAGACUCUGUGGGAGAAUAUUAAACUGGCUUUAAAAAGAGAAAAUGCAAAAACCAGAAGAGAGAGAUUUAAUACUGGUGGUGGACCACCAAAAAAGACAAGGCUGAUGAAUUGAGUGACUUGCUGUCUGGAAUUAUUGAACCCCAGCAACCUCUGGAUGGUAUACCAGAUGCUGACCAUUUGGAUAGUUCAGAUGAAGAACUGAGCACAAAUGAGGAAAGGAAUCUGAGCAGUGUGGAAGAGCCUGCAGUGUCCACUGAGUGUGGGCCCUCUACAUCUACUAUAACAUCCUUAAGAGAAGAUGCUGCUGCCACCUCUCAACAGAGAACAAAAAAGAUGACCAUGCAUGAAAAGUUAGCCAGAGAAUUUCAUGAGCAUAAACUGAAAUAUCUGAAGGAAGAACAUGAAAUGAAAAUGAGAAUUCUACAGGUUGAAUUGGAUAUGAAGUUGGACGAGAGAGCUAUCCAAAAAAGAUACAGUAAUGAGACAAUUGUGGUUGCCAGCCAUGAUGAACAAUAUACGUAAAAAUAAAUAAAUGUUUUGUCAUUUGCAUAUUCAUGAGUUUGAGUAUUUUAAUCACCACAAACUACAUUUUAAACCAGCUUUGGUUUAGUCACUCAUUUAAUUUGCUGCACACCAUGUACAAAAAAACAUCCAAGCAAAAAUAGGCCAUAAUGAAUACAUUCCAUAUUUAAAUACAUCUCA
Long non-coding RNA from Lampris incognitus (smalleye Pacific opah), 1568 nucleotides. RefSeq lists it as uncharacterized. Lineage: Eukaryota; Metazoa; Chordata; Actinopteri; Lampriformes; Lampridae. The record is from RefSeq and is a predicted model, not a curated record. The transcript has 3 exons.